This 468-nucleotide ribosomal RNA is filed under the name uncultured bacterium. RNAcentral's name for it is "bacterial SSU rRNA". It matches the Rfam family "Bacterial small subunit ribosomal RNA", at positions 331 to 792 of the family's 1533-position model. The record is from RNAcentral.
CCAGACUCCUACGGGAGGCAGCAGUGGGGAAUUUUGGACAAUGGGCGCAAGCCUGAUCCAGCUAUUCCGCGUGUGGGAUGACGGCCCUCGGGUUGUAAACCACUUUAGUAGAGAACGAAAAGGAGCUAUCGAAUAAAUAGCUCUGCUGACGGUACUCUAAGAAUAAGCACCGGCUAACUACGUGCCAGCAGCCGCGGUAAUACGUAGGGGGCGAGCGUUAUCCGGAUUUAUUGGGCGUAAAGGGUGUGUAGGCGGUUUGUUAAGUCUAAAAUCAAAGCCCGAGGCUUAACCUCGGUUCGUUUUAGAAACUGGCAAACUAGAGUGCAGUAGGGGCAAGUGGAAUUUCUAGUGUAGCGGUUAAAUGCGUAGAUAUUAGAAGGAACACCAGUGGCGAAGGCGGCUUGCUGGGCUGUUACUGACGCUGAGACACGAAAGCGUGGGGAGCAAAUAGGAUUAGAUACCCCCGUA